RNAcentral lists this ribosomal RNA (554 nucleotides) under uncultured bacterium. RNAcentral describes it as "partial 16S ribosomal RNA". It matches the Rfam family "Bacterial small subunit ribosomal RNA", at positions 355 to 900 of the family's 1533-position model. The record is from RNAcentral.
UAGGGAAUCUUCCACAAUGGACGCAAGUCUGAUGGAGCAACGCCGCGUGAGUGAAGAAGGUUUUCGGACCGUAAAGCUCUGUUGUUGGUGAAGAAGGAUAGAGGUAGUAACUGGCCUUUAUUUGACGGUAAUCAACCAGAAAGUCACGGCUAACUACGUGCCAGCAGCCGCGGUAAUACGUAGGUGGCAAGCGUUGUCCGGAUUUAUUGGGCGUAAAGCGAGCGCAGGCGGAAGAAUAAGUCUGAUGUGAAAGCCCUCGGCUUAACCGAGGAAUUGCAUCGGAAACUGUUUUCUUGAGUGCAGAAGAGGAGAGUAGAACUCCAUGUGUAGCGGUGGAAUGCGUAGAUAUAUGGAAGAAUACCAGUGGCGAAGGCGGCUCUCUGGUCUGCAACUGACGCUGAGGCUCGAAAGCAUGGGUAGCGAACAGGAUUAGAUACCCUGGUAGUCCAUGCCGUAAACGAUGAGUGCUAAGUGUUGGGAGGCUUCCGCCUCUCAGUGCUGCAGCUAACGCAUUAAGCACUCCGCCUGGGGGAGUACGGCCGCAAGGUUGAAAC